RNAcentral lists this ribosomal RNA (468 nucleotides) under uncultured bacterium. RNAcentral's name for it is "partial 16S ribosomal RNA". It matches the Rfam family "Bacterial small subunit ribosomal RNA", at positions 28 to 507 of the family's 1533-position model. The record is from RNAcentral.
GACGAACGCUGGCGGCGUGCUUAACACAUGCAAGUCGAACGGAAAGGCCCUGCUUUUGUGGGGUGCUCGAGUGGCGAACGGGUGAGUAACACGUGAGUAACCUGCCCUUGACUUUGGGAUAACUUCAGGAAACUGGGGCUAAUACCGGAUAGGAGCUCCUGCUGCAUGGUGGGGGUUGGAAAGUUUCGGCGGUUGGGGAUGGACUCGCGGCUUAUCAGCUUGUUGGUGGGGUAGUGGCUUACCAAGGCUUUGACGGGUAGCCGGCCUGAGAGGGUGACCGGCCACAUGGGGACUGAGAUACGGCCCAGACUCCUACGGGAGGCAGCAGUGGGGAAUAUUGCACAAUGGGCGGAAGCCUGAUGCAGAAACGCCGCGUGCGGGAUGACGGCCUUCGGGUUGUAAACCGCUUUCGACUGUGACGAAGCGUGAGUGACGGUAAUGGGUAAAGAAGCACCGGCUAACUACGUG